RNAcentral lists this ribosomal RNA (253 nucleotides) under uncultured bacterium. RNAcentral's name for it is "partial 16S ribosomal RNA". It matches the Rfam family "Bacterial small subunit ribosomal RNA", at positions 524 to 776 of the family's 1533-position model. The record is from RNAcentral.
GACGUAGGGUGCGAGCGUUGUCCGGAUUUAUUGGGCGUAAAGAGCUCGUAGGCGGCUCGUCGCGUCGACCGUGAAAACCCGCGGCUUAACUGCGGGCUUGCGGUUGAUACGGGCGGGCUAGAGUUCGGUAGGGGAGACUGGAAUUCCUGGUGUAGCGGUGAAAUGCGCAGAUAUCAGGAGGAACACCGGUGGCGAAGGCGGCCCUCUGGACCGGUACUGACGCUGAUGCGCGAAAGCGUGGGGAGCAAACGGG